CCUUUAUGUCUAAAGUGUCAUGUUUGAACAUAUAUGUAUAUAUUGAGCAUCUUGUAUAGUAGGGUUAAUUGUGAGCUUUAUUGCAUGAUUGUGAAUUUAAUUUCGUAUGAAAUAUUGGUAAGAAUGUGAGAAUUGUAACCCUAUUUAUGCAUGACAAGUGACAAGAAUCUAGAAGGGUUAGUGAACAAAAGUGACACAUGGACAUAGAUCUAGUAAGUGACAUUGAUGAGUCUAGAACACUUAGAAAACGAGUGUGACAUUUGGUAUGAGAACAAGAACAUAGCACUUAGAAAACAAGUGUGGUAUGAGUACAAAACUUGGUAAUGUAUAUGACACUAGUGAUAGUAAAGAAUGCAAAGGUAAGAAUGAUUGAGACAUUAUGACAUUUCAACCUUAGAGUUCAAGGUCAUUUGAGCAUGGUCUUCCUUAAAGUUAAGGAAUGGAUUGAACUUGAAAUCCUCAAUGUAGGAUUGAUCGUUCUCACCUUUAGUCCUUGCUCGAGGGUGGUUGCUCCCUGUCGGGCAAUAUGCUCCGGAGUCGACAUCACUGGAUCGUAGCGGGUAUCUCCCCAGAGGACGGUCCUAUCAGGUUGUAGCGGGUAUCUCCCCGGUUAAAUAGGAUUUUGGGUUGGUGAGUUUGUUGAGGGCGAAACCUACGGGUUAGCCAAAAGAUUGGGUUAAGAAACUGUGAUCUUGCAUUCAUCAUGAGCAUUAUAUCGAGCAUCGCAUUUUAUAUUGUUCAGGUAUAUUAGUUGCAUUUUUAGUUGGUUACUUUCUUUCUUCUAUUCUAUUAUGCCUGAUUAGACCUAGUGGGAUAGUCGGCGUGGUUGGUUGCCGAACCCACUGGAAACUUUGUUGUAGUUCUCACACCCCUAUUUCCACAGAGCCGGGACCGAGCGAGCCGGCAGACGACCGCGGUAAGGGCAUCGCGCCCUAGGUAGAGACCGCCCGUGAUGUUCUAUUUCAUAGUUGCAUACCCUUCGAUAUAUCAUCUUUUGUAUUUGAUGAUUUUAGUAUCAUGAACAUGUUUAAAUGAAUGACGUAAAGGAUAUUUAUUUUAAAUGUCAAAAGUUAUAUUUUGGGAGAAAUGAGAUGUAAAAAGAAAUGAUCAAAUAAUUGUAUUCGAUUUUCUAAGUGUAGUUAUUUGCUUUCACUAUUGGCUAUUGCUUGCCCUCGUGCAAGCCAUUGU
RNAcentral lists this long non-coding RNA (1188 nucleotides) under Ananas comosus (pineapple). RNAcentral's name for it is "long non-coding RNA (ACOM_LNC043337)". Lineage: Eukaryota; Viridiplantae; Streptophyta; Magnoliopsida; Poales; Bromeliaceae. The record is from RNAcentral.